Molecule: ribosomal RNA, 523 nt
Filed under: uncultured Hanseniaspora
Lineage: Eukaryota; Fungi; Ascomycota; Saccharomycetes; Saccharomycodales; Saccharomycodaceae
Description: eukaryotic LSU rRNA
Rfam family: Eukaryotic large subunit ribosomal RNA
Source: RNAcentral
AAACCAACCGGGAUUACCUUAGUAACGGCGAGUGAAGCGGUAAAAGCUCAAAUUUGAAAUCUGGUACUUUCAGUGCCCGAGUUGUAAUUUGUAGAAUUUGUCUUUGAUUAGGUCCUUGUCUAUGUUCCUUGGAACAGGACGUCAUAGAGGGUGAGAAUCCCGUUUGGCGAGGAUACCUUUUUCUGUAAGACUUUUUCGAAGAGUCGAGUUGUUUGGGAAUGCAGCUCAAAGUGGGUGGUAAAUUCCAUCUAAAGCUAAAUAUUGGCGAGAGACCGAUAGCGAACAAGUACAGUGAUGGAAAGAUGAAAAGAACUUUGAAAAGAGAGUGAAAAAGUACGUGAAAUUGUUGAAAGGGAAGGGCAUUUGAUCAGACAUGGUGUUUUUUGCAUGCACUCGCCUCUCGUGGGCUUGGGCCUCUCAAAAAUUUCACUGGGCCAACAUCAAUUCUGGCAGUAGGAUAAAUCAUUAAGAAUGUAGCUACCUCGGUAGUGUUAUAGCUUAUUGGAAUACUGCUAGCUGGGUA